GGGCUUGACAUCCCACGAACCUGCCUGAAAGGGUGGGGUGCCCGCAAGGGAGCGUGGAGACAGGUGGUGCAUGGCUGUCGUCAGCUCGCGUCGUGAGAUGUUGGGUUAAGUCCCGCAACGAGCGCAACCCUCACCCCUAGUUGCCACCGGGUAAUGCCGAGCACUCGAGGGGAACUGCCAGCGUCAAGCUGGAGGAAGGCGGGGAUGACGUCAAGUCAUCAUGCCCCUUACGCCCUGGGCUACACACGUGCUACAAUGGCCGGUACAAAGGGACGCAAGACCGCGAGGUGGAGCUAAUCCCAAAAAGCUGGUCUAAGUUCAGAUUGCAGUCUGCAACUCGACUGCAUGAAGGAGGAAUCGCUAGUAAUCGCGCAUCAGCCCGGCGCGGUGAAUACGUUCCCGGGCCUUGUACACACCGCCCGUCACACCACGAAAGCUGUCUGUACUCGAAGUCGCUGAG
This 460-nucleotide ribosomal RNA is filed under the name uncultured Methylomirabilota bacterium. RNAcentral describes it as "bacterial SSU rRNA". It matches the Rfam family "Bacterial small subunit ribosomal RNA", at positions 977 to 1434 of the family's 1533-position model. Lineage: Bacteria; Methylomirabilota (SeqCode). The record is from RNAcentral.